GACGAACGCUGGCGGCGUGCUUAACACAUGCAAGUCGAACGAAGUGGCGAACGGGUGAGUAACGCGUAAUCAACCUGCCCUUCCGAGGGGGACAACAGUUGGACACGACUGCUAAUACCGCAUACUGCAUUAGGGGCUUGCGUCGGAUUAGCUAGUUGGAGGGGUAACGGCCCACCAAGGCGAUGAUCAGUAGCCGGUCUGAGAGGAUGAACGGCCAAAGUGGGACUGAGACACGGCCCAGACUCCUACGGGAGGCAGCAGUGGGGAAUCUUCCGCAAUGGACGAAAGUCUGACGGAGCAACGCCGCGGGAGUGAUGACGGCCUUCGGGUUGUAAAGCUCUGUUAAUCGGGACGCGGUACCGGAAUAGAAAGCCACGGCUAACUACGUGCCAGCAGCCGCGGUAAUAC
This 408-nucleotide ribosomal RNA is filed under the name uncultured bacterium. RNAcentral's name for it is "partial 16S ribosomal RNA". It matches the Rfam family "Bacterial small subunit ribosomal RNA", at positions 28 to 526 of the family's 1533-position model. The record is from RNAcentral.